This 468-nucleotide ribosomal RNA is filed under the name uncultured bacterium. Its description in RNAcentral is "partial 16S ribosomal RNA". It matches the Rfam family "Bacterial small subunit ribosomal RNA", at positions 28 to 507 of the family's 1533-position model. The record is from RNAcentral.
GACGAACGCUGGCGGCGUGCUUAACACAUGCAAGUCGAACGGAAAGGCCCUGCUUUUGUGGGGUGCUCGAGUGGCGAACGGGUGAGUAACACGUGAGUAACCUGCCCUUGACUUUGGGAUAACUUCAGGAAACUGGGGCUAAUACCGGAUAGGAGCUCCUGCUGCAUGGUGGGGGUUGGAAAGUUUCGGCGGUUGGGGAUGGACUCGCGGCUUAUCAGCUUGUUGGUGGGGUAGUGGCUUACCCAGGCUUUGACGGGUAGCCGGCCUGAGAGGGUGACCGGCCACAUUGGGACUGAGAUACGGCCCAGACUCCUACGGGAGGCAGCAGUGGGGAAUAUUGCACAAUGGGCGGAAGCCUGAUGCAGAAACGCCGCGUGCGGGAUGACGGCCUUCGGGUUGUAAACCGCUUUCGCCUGUGACGAAGCGUGAGUGACGGUAAUGGGUAAAGAAGCACCGGCUAACUACGUG